This 608-nucleotide ribosomal RNA is filed under the name uncultured bacterium. Its description in RNAcentral is "bacterial SSU rRNA". It matches the Rfam family "Bacterial small subunit ribosomal RNA", at positions 277 to 883 of the family's 1533-position model. The record is from RNAcentral.
CGAUGGAUAGGGGGUUCUGAGAGGAAGGUCCCCCCACAUUGGAACUGAGACACGGUCCAAACUCCUACGGGAGGCAGCAGUGAGGAAUAUUGGUCAAUGGACGAGAGUCUGAACCAGCCAAGUAGCGUGAAGGAUGACUGCCCUAUGGGUUGUAAACUUCUUUUAUACGGGAAUAAAGUGAGGCACGUGUGCCUUUUUGUAUGUACCGUAUGAAUAAGGAUCGGCUAACUCCGUGCCAGCAGCCGCGGUAAUACGGAGGAUCCGAGCGUUAUCCGGAUUUAUUGGGUUUAAAGGGAGCGUAGGCGGACGCUUAAGUCAGUUGUGAAAGUUUGCGGCUCAACCGUAAAAUUGCAGUUGAUACUGGGUGUCUUGAGUACAGUAGAGGCAGGCGGAAUUCGUGGUGUAGCGGUGAAAUGCUUAGAUAUCACGAAGAACUCCGAUUGCGAAGGCAGCCUGCUGGACUGUAACUGACGCUGAUGCUCGAAAGUGUGGGUAUCAAACAGGAUUAGAUACCCUGGUAGUCCACACAGUAAACGAUGAAUACUCGCUGUUUGCGAUAUACAGUAAGCGGCCAAGCGAAAGCGUUAAGUAUUCCACCUGGGGAGUAC